GGCUUCCGUCCCCUAAGCCUUGGGGGGAAAUCAGCGCGCCGGAGGCUGGGACCAAGGAGUGAGGGGGUUCAAUCACGCAUGGGUGUCAUGGUCGCAUAUUGGUGUCUUUGUACAAAGCCAGUGCCACUCCACAACCCAGUGACCAUUGGCAAAGCGGCCUCAUAAUGGGCAACUUGCGCUCCAUCAUUGUUUCUCUUGCGAUCUUUUGCAUCCGUCGGUUCCCCAUAUAGCGACAGGCUCAAGAGGCAUGGAAAACUUUUUUUUUUUUUUUUUUUUAACAUGAAAUAGACUUCGUAGAUGGAGAGGUCAAGGGGAAGGCAUUGCGCCGCAGAGAGCGAGGACCCACUCUUCUGUUCCUCUGCCGCGGCGUGAAAACAUGGUGCGGACCGAAACGGCAGCGGGAGAGCAGGAGACGAGACCGAGUUCCGACCGCAGGGAGCUUGCCUGACUGUGAUCCAGCUUUGCCUCCUCCGUGGUGCUGGCUCCUCUCGCCUACCGGGGACAGUUUGAGCUGGGAAUCUUCUAAAGAGUGUCUCCUCACAAGGGCAACGGCAGCAGCAGGAAUCAGCUGGAGAGCUCAUGAUGCUUGCUCCAGUGUGUGACUCCGAGGGAGAGUUCCUGUCCCCUUUGGCCUGAGCUGCCUGAGUAAUGCUCAAGGGACAGAUUGUGAACCAGGGAGGUGUAGGAAGAGACAUGUCCCAGCCCCCCUCAUUCUCCCUGUGCCUGUUCUGGGAAGUCCACCUGACAGCUAGCUCUCCAUCACUGCUGCUGCAGUUCCUGCUCAUCCUUUUGCUCUGCAUUCGGCACAAGUGCAAUGAAGCGUGUAAGCCAGCUUUCUUCCCUCCCGCUCCUGUGAGUUUCCUCUUAGUCCCCAAAGCCUGCUGGGUCGGGGGCUCUGGGGCUAACCCCUUUUAUUUAUGCGGUGCCUAACAGUCACAAACUUCCCUUGCCAACCCUCACACCUAUAGGACUGGCCUCUGGCCACUUUGCAGGAAGAGACAGGUGUGAGAACCACUUCUUUCUCUCCUUGGGGGGGGGGGUGGGAUCUGGGACACCAUUCCCUCAAGGAUGAGGAGCUCUCUUUUUGUCUCUAUGUGGCAGUCCAGGGACACAUUUGAACACGGAUAUUCUCUUUAAAGCACAUCUGAUUGAGGGAUGGGACCUGCGUGCGGAGGGCACUCCCGCAGGAGAGAUUUCUUGAAUAUCCACACUGAUUGUGGGGAAAAACCCUUCCCAGAGGUAGAGGGGAGACUGGGCAGAUGGAGGAAGGUCUCCUUAGAGUCCUUCCUCUCAGGGGCACCUGGACAUUUUAGUUUCCCCAUCAAAGUCCUGUGGGGUGAAGAUUAAUAGUUGGCCAGGGUGGGGAUAAGGGCACAAACCCUCUUGCCUGGAUAGGUGCACUGGACUGGCCUUGUCGCUGAGAAUAUUAUGGGAAAGGCAGCUGCAGUUUGGGGACAGAAGGUAGGGGCACUUACCGGAGAA
Molecule: non-coding RNA, 1482 nt
Organism: Microcebus murinus (gray mouse lemur)
Lineage: Eukaryota; Metazoa; Chordata; Mammalia; Primates; Cheirogaleidae
Source: RefSeq, a predicted model, not a curated record